GACGAACGCUGGCGGCGUGCUUAACACAUGCAAGUCGAACGGAAAGGCCCUGCUUUUGUGGGGUGCUCGAGUGGCGAACGGGUGAGUAACACGUGUGUAACCUGCCCUUGACUUUGGGAUAACUUCAGGAAACUGGGGCUAAUACCGGAUAGGAGCUCCUGCUGCAUGGUGGGGGUUGGAAAGUUUCGGCGGUUGGGGAUGGACUCGCGGCUUAUCAGCUUGUUGGUGGGGUAGUGGCUUACCAAGGCUUUGACGGGUAGCCGGCCUGAGAGGGUGACCGGCCACAUUGGGACUGAGAUACGGCCCAGACUCCUACGGGAGGCAGCAGUGGGGAAUAUUGCACAAUGGGCGGAAGCCUGAUGCAGCAACGCCGCGUGCGGGAUGACGGCCUUCUGGUUGUAAACCGCUUUCGCCUGUGACGAAGCGUGAGUGACGGUAAUGGGUAAAGAAGCACCGGCUAACUACGUG
This 468-nucleotide ribosomal RNA is filed under the name uncultured bacterium. RNAcentral describes it as "partial 16S ribosomal RNA". It matches the Rfam family "Bacterial small subunit ribosomal RNA", at positions 28 to 507 of the family's 1533-position model. The record is from RNAcentral.